CCCUCCCCCACGUCACAAUGGGAUUCAAUGAGUUCUAGCUUCUGUUGCUAGGGCUGUUGCCAGCUAGGUAGCCAGACAGUUUAAUUUGGCUAAUGUUAGCUAGCUAGCUAGCUACUGUAAUUGUUAUUGUUGCUUUCUGUUUGUAUGUAGCUUGCACUUCAAUGGCAUCCCUCGAGGAGAUUUUCUUUUAUCUUUCCAACCAGGCAAAGUACUAUGAAGGCACCACUGAUCUCAACAAGAGGCACACCAUUCAGAGAAAUUCAGGUCAGUACCCUGUCUAGCCUGCCAGAAGUUUGAGAAGGCGAAGGCCGUGGCGCUGAAGUUGUGGCGCCCGUUAAAGUUAUUUCAUCGAGGCACAUGAUCAGGGUGGACCUCAUCGGACCCCUCACGAAAUCCAGGAAUGGCAACGGUGACCGAUCACUUUACCAAGUGGAUGGAGGCAAUACCCAUUAAGGUCAGUAAAGGAAGAGUAUGUGCUUAACUCUAAAUUCCCUU
Molecule: long non-coding RNA, 495 nt
Filed under: Salmo salar (Atlantic salmon)
Lineage: Eukaryota; Metazoa; Chordata; Actinopteri; Salmoniformes; Salmonidae
Description: lncRNA (ENSSSAG00000110784.1, ENSSSAG00020081949.1, ENSSSAG00075041580.1)
Source: RNAcentral